UACGGAGGGUGCAAGCGUUGUUCGGAAUUACUGGGCGUAAAGCGCGCGUAGGCGGCCUUUUAUGUCAGGUGUGAAAGCCCUCGGCCUAACCGAGGAAGUGCGCCUGAAACUGGAAGGCUUGAGUACGAGAAGGGAGGACGGAAUUCCCAGUGUAGAGGUGAAAUUCGUAGAUAUUGGGAAGAACACCGGUGGCGAAAGCGGUUCUCUAGAUCGAUACUGACGCUAAGGCGCGAAAGCGUGGGGAGCAAACAGG
This 253-nucleotide ribosomal RNA is filed under the name uncultured bacterium. RNAcentral describes it as "partial 16S ribosomal RNA". It matches the Rfam family "Bacterial small subunit ribosomal RNA", at positions 524 to 776 of the family's 1533-position model. The record is from RNAcentral.